GGCACUGUGGCGCAAUGGUAGCGCGUUGGCUUCCGAUGCCAGAGGCUGCAGGUUCGAGUCCUGCCAGUGUCG
Non-coding RNA from Geopyxis carbonaria, 72 nucleotides. The record is from the annotation of a GenBank genome assembly. Lineage: Eukaryota; Fungi; Ascomycota; Pezizomycetes; Pezizales; Tarzettaceae.